RNAcentral lists this long non-coding RNA (1881 nucleotides) under Panax ginseng (ginseng). RNAcentral describes it as "long non-coding RNA (PGIN_LNC005752)". Lineage: Eukaryota; Viridiplantae; Streptophyta; Magnoliopsida; Apiales; Araliaceae. The record is from RNAcentral.
UUUACACGAUUGUGCAUAUCUAUUUUUCCCAUAUAUAUAUAUGGUUAAGAUCUAGUCCGGGCGCCCGGACAUUACUUAAAAUCUGAACUUCUGUUAUGAGCCGUGGAUUAUAUCCAACGGUUGGGAAAUGAAAGGAAAAUGUUAAUCUGAUCUCAAGCCAAAUCGCGUCUUUCUCUCUCUCUUAAGCCGAAACCUCUCUCUCUCACGAAGCCGAAACCUCGCCUGAUCGAGUCUCUGGCCCAAAGCUUCCGGCCGAACGAAGCCGGAAACUCGAUGAACUCGCCGUCUCUCUCUGUCUCCCAAGGUAUUUUCUACUUCCCCCAAUAUUCAUCUAGUACUGCUUGGUUCUCUAUAACCCACCGAAUCCACCGAGUCCAAUCUCCUAUAUGCGAAGUAUUCCUCCACAUGAACCACCUACCAAAUAAUCCAUACCCCAACAAGAAGUAUAAAUCGUACUGUCUUUCCGGUAGCUUUAAAAAUAAAGGUUCCUCAUACUUCUAAUUUUUUUUUUCUCUGUUUGAACCUUUUGAAUUCAAAUUGAAUGUUUAAAAAGUUUUGCACUGUUUGGUGGUUUAGGCACAAGGAGAUAGGUUGGGCUAAGGAGUAAUAAGGAGGAUAUAAUGGGUUCAUGAUAUAAAUCAAUGGUGGUGAAACUGAUAGCCUAAAAUUAUGCCUACCAACUGUUUGAUAAAAGUUCUAAAAGAACUGUUUUGAUUGAAUUUAUAUAUGUAUAUUUGAAUUUAUACUACUAUUAAUAUAAACCAAUGGUGGCAUAUAGUGAUAUCCAAGGAGUGCUGGGGUUUUGGGUUAAGUAGUGUGAUGCAGAAUAAAGGGGCUACAUGACAUAUUUAAUGUAGAGGAUUCCUUGCAACUUUUUAGAGCAUCGUAAGGGCUGUGACAGUAGAGGAUUCCUUGCAACUUCUUAGGUUUUUUCCUUCUAAUUAAGUGCAUUUGGUGUUUUGACAGUUGAGCAGUAGCAAUUAAUAUAUCAGACAUAUAACAAUUGAGCAGUGUUGUUGUAAUUGAUUAUGUUAUUAUAUUUUACAAAAAAAAAUACCAUUUUUAUAUAACAAUAAAUGUAUAAUAUAACUCUUUUUGUGAAAUUGAUGACUAAAAUCUCAAUAUUGUUUUAUAUAAAAAAAUAUCAAUAUUGAAAUGAGGAAUUGGAAGUAAACCAAAGUAAUACUAUUGUGAUAAUUAUUUUAAAUAUGUAUGAGACAUCUAGGUGUGAGGCCUAGUCUUCUUCCCCUCUUUCAUGUGUUAUUGUCAUGAUAUGUGGAUUACCAACUGUGGAAUGUCUCUAAAACAUUGCAAUCUUAUGGUGGUUUUGGCAGAUAAGGUUCAACAAAGGAUAUAAUGUCUACUUCAAGCAACAUGAGCAUUCAAGUGAUUGUGUACUCUGCUACCCUAACUAACUGUAAUGACUGUAAUGACUAUAAGGAAAAUGUAAUGAUUAUGUACUCUGCUACCCUUUUGUAUUAAGAAAGCACUGGAUGAUUGUCUUGUUUAAAAUAUGGAUGUUAAGUAUAUUUUUUCACUGGUCCUGUGGAUUUACAAUCCCCCUCCCCCAAGCGGAUAAAUUAGUAAAAAAAAGGUUUAGGUAGACAUCCUUGAUGAUAAAGUCUUAUAGAUACUGCACAAUGGUUAUGGGAACACAUGGUGUGGUAUUAUAUGAGAUCUUAACCAGCAGAUUAUAGAAAUUUGGUAUGAUAAUGGACCCGAGACUUGAAAAUCAAUACUCUCGCACUGCAGCUCGAGAAAUUGCCAAGUGAACAUGUUGGUGGAAUUAGUAGAAGAGGGUUUAUGCUGAUGCAGAGAGCAAAACUACCUUAAAAAACUAUUUCAUCACAGGACCAGAUUUUGUGUUUUUUCAAAGGUUUU